Paramisgurnus dabryanus is the source of this 286-nucleotide non-coding RNA. The record is from RefSeq and is a predicted model, not a curated record. Lineage: Eukaryota; Metazoa; Chordata; Actinopteri; Cypriniformes; Cobitidae.
UGUCACAGGUCAGGGCGGACCCGAGAUAGCUAAAGGGUCACGCCCCUUUCCUAGGUUCCACCACGAGGAGGUUUCCAAAGUCACCCCAAUGACCAGACACACAAGGCAGUACAAGUAUGGUGCAGGCUGCUGACUGGGACACAGAAGAUCAGUUAUUUAUAACUGCUGGUUUCUCUCACCUCUCCAAACUUGGGAUGACGUACAGUAAGUACUGUGCAGGUAAAGUUUUCCUCGUGCUCUUUCUCUCUCUUCAUAGGCUGCUGACUGGGACACAGAAGAUCAGUUA